GAUGAACGCUGGCGGCGUGCCUAAUACGUGCAAGUCGAGCGAACGGACGAGAAGCUUGCUUCUCUGAUGUUAGCGGCGGACGGGUAAGUAACACGUGGAUAACCUACCUAUAAGACUGGGAUAACUUCGGGAAACCGGAGCUAAUACCGGAUAAUAUUUUGAACCGCAUGGUUCAAAAGUGAAAGACGGUCUUGCUGUCACUUAUAGAUGGAUCCGCGCUGCAUUAGCUAGUUGGUAAGGUAACGGCUUACCAAGGCAACGAUGCAUAGCCGACCUGAGAGGGUGAUCGGCCACACUGGAACUGAGACACGGUCCAGACUCCUACGGGAGGCAGCAGUAGGGAAUCUUCCGCAAUGGGCGAAAGCCUGACGGAGCAACGCCGCGUGAGUGAUGAAGGUCUUCGGAUCGUAAAACUCUGUUAUUAGGGAAGAACAUAUGUGUAAGUAACUGUGCACAUCUUGACGGUACCUAAUCAGAAAGCCACGGCUAACUACGUG
RNAcentral lists this ribosomal RNA (497 nucleotides) under uncultured bacterium. RNAcentral describes it as "partial 16S ribosomal RNA". It matches the Rfam family "Bacterial small subunit ribosomal RNA", at positions 28 to 507 of the family's 1533-position model. The record is from RNAcentral.